RNAcentral lists this ribosomal RNA (502 nucleotides) under uncultured bacterium. Its description in RNAcentral is "partial 16S ribosomal RNA". It matches the Rfam family "Bacterial small subunit ribosomal RNA", at positions 28 to 507 of the family's 1533-position model. The record is from RNAcentral.
GAUUAACGCUGGCGGCGUGCCUAACACAUGCAAGUCGAGCGGCAGCGAGUUUUCCACUGAAUUCUGGAAGCUUCUAGUUGAAAGAGAAGAUUUAUUCAAGAAUUUUGUGUAAAAUGUCGGCGAGCGGCGGACGGCUGAGUAACGCGUGGGAACGUACCCCAAAGUGAGGGAUAACGCAUCGAAAGGUGUGCUAAUACCGCAUAUGGUCUUCGGAUUAAAGCCUUCGGGCGCUUUGGGAACGGCCUGCGUAAGAUUAGAUAGUUGGUGGGGUAAUGGCCUACCAAGUCGACGAUCUUUAACUGGUUGGAGAGGAUGAUCAGUCAGACUGGAACUGAGACACGGUCCAGACUCCUACGGGAGGCAGCAGUGAGGAAUCUUCCACAAUGGGCGAAAGCCUGAUGGAGCAACGCCGCGUGCAGGAUGAAGGCCUUCGGGUUGUAAACUGCUUUUAUAAGUGAGGAUUAUGACAGUAACUUAUGAAUAAGAAUCGGCUAACUACGUG